RNAcentral lists this ribosomal RNA (494 nucleotides) under uncultured bacterium. Its description in RNAcentral is "bacterial SSU rRNA". It matches the Rfam family "Bacterial small subunit ribosomal RNA", at positions 28 to 512 of the family's 1533-position model. The record is from RNAcentral.
GACGAACGCUGGCGGCGUGGAUUAGGCAUGCAAGUCGAACGGUAGGAUACCUUCGGGUAUCUGAGAGUGGCGAACGGGUGAGUAACACGUAGGUGAUCUACCCUCAAGAUUGGGACAACCCAGGGAAACUUGGGCUAAUACCGGAUGAAAGCAGCAGUGAUGUUGUUUGAAAGGUGGCGUAAGCUGCCGUUUGGGGAUGAGCCUGCGCUCUAUUAGUUAGUUGGCGGGGUAAAGCCCACCAAGGCGAUGAUAGAUAGGCGGCCUUAACGGGUGGUCGCCCACACUGGGAUUGAGAUACGGCCCAGACUCCUACGGGAGGCAGCAGUCGAGAAUAGUCUACAAUGGCCGAAAAGGCUGAUAGUGCGACGCCGCGUGAACGAAGAAGCCCUUCGGGUGUAAAGUUCUUUUAUAUGUGAGCAGUGCUUUCUAUGUGAACAGCAUGGGGAGAGAGAUAUUAAGCAUAUGAAUAAGCAAACGGCUAACUCCGUGCCAGC